UAACACCUUCAUGGACCGAGAUUAUCCCAGCUUUUUCCCAUCUCCCUGCACUCCCCACCCAUCCGACCUCAGGCCGCCCUGCUGCUUUAUCCUUUUUCUACAGACAAAGUGGAGGCAGUGGACAUGGAACGGGGGAGUCCUGUACUGGGAAGGUCCUGUAGGGUCCUGCUCGCUGACAGGCCUAGGAGGCUGAGGCUUUUCUACAGACAGAAGCCCGUGGAGGACACGGAGUGGUGAUCGUGAAGCCAGUUGAAGUAGCUUGAAAACAGAAUGGUUCUUCCUGGAGUCGGUAAAUUUGAACAUGCUUACCGGUGGCCCAGUCUCCUUAUGUGCGUGAGAGGCAAGCAAGGUGUCUUAUACAAUUAGAAACAAGUUAGUUGUCCGUAGAG
Molecule: long non-coding RNA, 389 nt
Organism: Bos taurus (domestic cattle)
Lineage: Eukaryota; Metazoa; Chordata; Mammalia; Artiodactyla; Bovidae
Source: Ensembl